UAGAUCUGUCUUUGGACUUGUGAAUGCCAUUCGUGUUCUGUUUACCAUUCUGAACCUUUGUUUUGGCUAUGACGGGGAUAUUCAAAUCUUCUUUGUGAUAACCCAAGCUGUGUCGAUGCCGAGCACAAUGUUUCCCCACCUCAUCUUUAGAUGACUGGAUUGCAUCACUGCAGCUCUUUCUCCGGUUUAGUUUUGGUGACACUGGCCGAGUCAGUGGCAGCUUUUUGAGUUCAACCUUAGGUGGAGGUGGUUCAUAGUAGAAACUAGGAACGGGUUUUGCUUUGACCACCAUGCUCUUUCUAAGCUGUUUGAUGGCUGCUUGUUGCUCUUCCUUGGACCUUGCCUCAGCCUGAUUCCGCUCUGCUUCCAAAGCUAGGUGCUUUUCUUCGAGUUUUGAGUAAAACUCCUUUCGUCUCUCUGCACGUUCAGCAGAUCUAAAGGUAGGAGCUGUUCCAAUGGUUACAGAUUUAACAGUUCUCACUGAUGCAGCAGUAGAGGAUGCGACAGACCAAUUAUCUUCUUCAUCAGGAAGCUUCUU
This 538-nucleotide unclassified non-coding RNA is filed under the name Hevea brasiliensis (rubber tree). Lineage: Eukaryota; Viridiplantae; Streptophyta; Magnoliopsida; Malpighiales; Euphorbiaceae. The record is from RNAcentral.